UUAAGCGACUAAGCGUACACGGUGGAUGCCCUGGCAGUCAGAGGCGAUGAAGGACGUGCUAAUCUGCGAAAAGCGUCGGUAAGGUGAUAUGAACCGUUAUAACCGGCGAUGUCCGAAUGGGGAAACCCAGUGCAAUUCGUUGCACUAUCGUUAACUGAAUACAUAGGUUAACGAGGCGAACCGGGGGAACUGAAACAUCUAAGUACCCCGAGGAAAAGAAAUCAACCGAGAUUCCCCCAGUAGCGGCGAGCGAACGGGGAGCAGCCCAGAGUCUGAAUCAGCUUGUGUGUUAGUGGAACGGUCUGGAAAGUCCGACGGUACAGGGUGAUAGUCCCGUACACCAAAAUGCACAGGCUGUGAACUCGAAGAGUAGGGCGGGACACGUGGUAUCCUGUCUGAAUAUGGGGGGACCAUCCUCCAAGGCUAAAUACUCCUGACUGACCGAUAGUGAACCAGUACCGUGAGGGAAAGGCGAAAAGAACCCCGGCGAGGGGAGUGAAAAAGAACCUGAAACCGUGUACGUACAAGCAGUGGGAGCACCUUCGGGUGUGACUGCGUACCUUUUGUAUAAUGGGUCAGCGACUUAUAUUCUGUAGCAAGGUUAACCGUAUAGGGGAGCCGCAGGGAAACCGAGUCUUAACUGGGCGUUAAGUUGCAGGGUAUAGACCCGAAACCCGGUGAUCUAGCCAUGGGCAGGUUGAAGGUUGGGUAACACUAACUGGAGGACCGAACCGACUAAUGUUGAAAAAUUAGCGGAUGACUUGUGGCUGGGGGUGAAAGGCCAAUCAAACCGGGAGAUAGCUGGUUCUCCCCGAAAGCUAUUUAGGUAGCGCCUCGUGAAUUCAUCUUCGGGGGUAGAGCACUGUUUCGGCUAGGGGGUCAUCCCGACUUACCAACCCGAUGCAAACUACGAAUACCGAAGAAUGUUAUCACGGGAGACACACGGCGGGUGCUAACGUCCGUCGUGAAGAGGGAAACAACCCAGACCGCCAGCUAAGGUCCCAAAGUCAUGGUUAAGUGGGAAACGAUGUGGGAAGGCACAGACAGCCAGGAUGUUGGCUUAGAAGCAGCCAUCAUUUAAAGAAAGCGUAAUAGCUCACUGGUCGAGUCGGCCUGCGCGGAAGAUGUAACGGGGCUAAACCAUGCACCGAAGCUGCGGCAGCGACACUAUGUGUUGUUGGGUAGGGGAGCGUUCUGUAAGCCUGCGAAGGUGUGCUGUGAGGCAUGCUGGAGGUAUCAGAAGUGCGAAUGCUGACAUAAGUAACGAUAAAGCGGGUGAAAAGCCCGCUCGCCGGAAGACCAAGGGUUCCUGUCCAACGUUAAUCGGGGCAGGGUGAGUCGACCCCUAAGGCGAGGCCGAAAGGCGUAGUCGAUGGGAAACAGGUUAAUAUUCCUGUACUUGGUGUUACUGCGAAGGGGGGACGGAGAAGGCUAUGUUAGCCGGGCGACGGUUGUCCCGGUUUAAGCAUGUAGGCUGGUUGUCCAGGCAAAUCCGGAUAAUCAAGGCUGAGGUGUGAUGACGAGGCACUACGGUGCUGAAGUAACAAAUGCCCUGCUUCCAGGAAAAGCCUCUAAGCAUCAGGUAACAUCAAAUCGUACCCCAAACCGACACAGGUGGUCAGGUAGAGAAUACCAAGGCGCUUGAGAGAACUCGGGUGAAGGAACUAGGCAAAAUGGUGCCGUAACUUCGGGAGAAGGCACGCUGGUGUGUAGGUGAAGUCCCUGCGGAUGGAGCUGAGACCAGUCGAAGAUACCAGCUGGCUGCAACUGUUUAUUAAAAACACAGCACUGUGCAAACACGAAAGUGGACGUAUACGGUGUGACGCCUGCCCGGUGCCGGAAGGUUAAUUGAUGGGGUUAUCCGUAAGGAGAAGCUCUUGAUCGAAGCCCCGGUAAACGGCGGCCGUAACUAUAACGGUCCUAAGGUAGCGAAAUUCCUUGUCGGGUAAGUUCCGACCUGCACGAAUGGCGUAAUGAUGGCCAGGCUGUCUCCACCCGAGACUCAGUGAAAUUGAACUCGCUGUGAAGAUGCAGUGUACCCGCGGCAAGACGGAAAGACCCCGUGAACCUUUACUAUAGCUUGACACUGAACAUUGAGCCUUGAUGUGUAGGAUAGGUGGGAGGCUUUGAAGCGUGGACGCCAGUCUGCGUGGAGCCAACCUUGAAAUACCACCCUUUAAUGUUUGAUGUUCUAACGUUGGCCCCUUACCGGGGUUGCGGACAGUGUCUGGUGGGUAGUUUGACUGGGGCGGUCUCCUCCCAAAGCGUAACGGAGGAGCACGAAGGUUAGCUAAUCCUGGUCGGACAUCAGGAGGUUAGUGCAAUGGCAUAAGCUAGCUUGACUGCGAGCGUGACGGCGCGAGCAGGUGCGAAAGCAGGUCAUAGUGAUCCGGUGGUUCUGAAUGGAAGGGCCAUCGCUCAACGGAUAAAAGGUACUCCGGGGAUAACAGGCUGAUACCGCCCAAGAGUUCAUAUCGACGGCGGUGUUUGGCACCUCGAUGUCGGCUCAUCACAUCCUGGGGCUGAAGUAGGUCCCAAGGGUAUGGCUGUUCGCCAUUUAAAGUGGUACGCGAGCUGGGUUUAGAACGUCGUGAGACAGUUCGGUCCCUAUCUGCCGUGGGCGCUGGAGAAUUGAGGGGGGCUGCUCCUAGUACGAGAGGACCGGAGUGGACGCAUCACUGGUGUUCGGGUUGUCAUGCCAAUGGCACUGCCCGGUAGCUAAAUGCGGAAGAGAUAAGUGCUGAAAGCAUCUAAGCACGAAACUUGCCCCGAGAUGAGUUCUCCCUGAGACUUUAAGUCUCCUGAAGGAACGUU
RNAcentral lists this ribosomal RNA (2814 nucleotides) under Klebsiella pneumoniae. RNAcentral describes it as "bacterial LSU rRNA". It matches the Rfam family "Bacterial large subunit ribosomal RNA". The record is from RNAcentral. Lineage: Bacteria; Pseudomonadati; Pseudomonadota; Gammaproteobacteria; Enterobacterales; Enterobacteriaceae.